AGUCACCUGGUGACCUCAUUAAGAACCAGGAUGAAUCUGCUGUGAUCAUAUGUACACACAAUUUAUCAAACUAUGACCGUAUUCUUUGAUGAAAAAAGGCCAUCAUGGGCUUCAAGUUCAAGGGGUUUCUUAAUCUCAUAUAUGACAACCCUGAGUUGGAAUUUAAAAACAAGAUCAAACUUGAUGGAGUAAUGUGUUCUGUUGUUAAUGGCAGUGUUAAUCAAAGCCCCUCAAAUCUAAUUAAAUCUGAGAGAGACAAUGCAGAACUUGUAUGCGAAUACAACAUACCAUCUUACACUAGGAUUUUCUGGUACAAACAA
Molecule: long non-coding RNA, 320 nt
Organism: Cyprinus carpio carpio
Lineage: Eukaryota; Metazoa; Chordata; Actinopteri; Cypriniformes; Cyprinidae
Source: Ensembl